This 586-nucleotide ribosomal RNA is filed under the name uncultured bacterium. Its description in RNAcentral is "bacterial SSU rRNA". It matches the Rfam family "Bacterial small subunit ribosomal RNA", at positions 338 to 916 of the family's 1533-position model. The record is from RNAcentral.
CCUACGGGAGGCAGCAGUGGGGAAUUUUGGACAAUGGGGGGGAACCCUGAUCCAGCCAUUCCGCGUGUGCGAUGAAGGCCUUCGGGUUGUAAAGCACUUUUGGCAGGAAAGAAAUCGCACGGAUUAAUACUUUGUGUGGAUGACGGUACCUGCAGAAUAAGCACCGGCUAACUACGUGCCAGCAGCCGCGGUAAUACGUAGGGUGCAAGCGUUAAUCGGAAUUACUGGGCGUAAAGCGUGCGCAGGCGGUUCGGAAAGAGAGGUGUGAAAUCCCAGGGCUUAACCUUGGAACUGCACUUUUAACUCCCGAGCUAGAGUAUGUCAGAGGGGGGUGGAAUUCCGCGUGUAGCAGUGAAAUGCGUAGAUAUGCGGAGGAACACCGAUGGCGAAGGCAGCCCCCUGGGAUGAUACUGACGCUCAUGCACGAAAGCGUGGGGAGCAAACAGGAUUAGAUACCCUGGUAGUCCACGCCCUAAACGAUGUCAACUAACUGUUGGGGGCUUCGGCCCUUAGUAGCGCAGCUAACGCGUGAAGUUGACCGCCUGGGGAGUACGGUCGCAAGAUUAAAACUUAAAGGAAUUGACGG